RNAcentral lists this ribosomal RNA (253 nucleotides) under uncultured bacterium. RNAcentral's name for it is "partial 16S ribosomal RNA". It matches the Rfam family "Bacterial small subunit ribosomal RNA", at positions 524 to 776 of the family's 1533-position model. The record is from RNAcentral.
UACGAAGGGGGCUAGCGUUGCUCGGAAUGACUGGGCGUAAAGGGCGCGUAGGCGGCUAGAUGUGUCAAAGGUGAAAUCCCUCGGCUCAACUGAGGAACUGCCUUUGAAACUGUCUGGCUUGAGGCCGGGAGAGGGUAGCGGAAUUCCCAGUGUAGCGGUGAAAUGCGUAGAUAUUGGGAGGAACACCAGUGGCGAAGGCGGCUACCUGGACCGGUUCUGACGCUGAGGCGCGAAAGCGUGGGUAGCAAACAGG